UCGCGAGUGUUUAUUUUAAUAUCCUUUUUUAAUUAUUUUGUUAAGCCAUGUGGUACUUUAGCGUAAUCUCUUACAAAUUUUCUAUAAUAACCUGUUAUACCUAGGAAUGAUUUAAUUUGCUUUCAUGUAGUAGGCAAUUUUAGUUUUUGUAUGUUUUCGAUUUUGCUUAAAUUUGGUUGUAUUCCUUCUGUUGUUAAAGUGUGACCUAGAAAUUCAGUUGUUUUCGCGAAAAAUUUGCAUUUAUCUACCUGAAUCUUUAACUAAAAAUUAAGAUGUCGUCUAAAUAAACUACACAUAUCUUGUUGAUAUAUUCCCUAAGAACUGAAUUCAUUAAAAGUUGGAAAGUUGCUGGGGCAUUCUUUAGUCCGAAAGGCAUUCUUAUAAAUUCAAAGUGUCCUUGGGGUGUAGAGAAAGCUGUUUUUGGUCUAUCUUCUUCUUUUAUUAAUACUUGAUGAAAGCCUUUUGCAAGAUCUAAUGUUGUAAAAUACUGAGCUCUUCCAAGUUUGCUGAGUAUUGUUGCUAUAUGUGGUAUUGGAAAUUUGUCAUCUAUAGUGACUUCGUUUAGCUUCCUGUAGUCAAUAACUAUUCCCCAUUUUUUCUUCACUGAAUUGUCUUGCUUUUUCGGUACAAUCCAAAGAGGCGAGUUGUACGGGGAAUUACUUUCUUUAAUUAUACUUUGGCGCAACAUCUCGUUCAUCUGUCUACUAAUUUCUUCUUCAUGAAUUUGGGGAUAUCUAUAAAUUUUAUUAUAAUUGGUCUACUUGUUUUUGUAACAAUUUCAUGCUGAAUUUCAUGAGUAUGAGAAAGGUUUUUACCUUCUUGGAAAAAUAAAUCGCUAUUUGCUUUUAGAAUGUAUUCUAAUUUUUGCUUUUCUUCUUCAUUCAUGUCACUAUUUGAUAAAAUAUCUAGCAAAUUCUCUUUACAUUCUGUAUGUACAUUAAUAUCUUCGUAAUUGUAAGGGCAUGAGUUUAUAAAUUUAAUUUUAUUGCCGUUUAUUUUUACAUACUCCUUUUCUAAAUUAAUUGUUGCUUUAAUAGGUUUUAAAAUAUUCUGUCCUAUUAUAGCAUCAAAGUUAUUAUUUUUUAUGUUGGUUAGUUUCCAAUGUAUAUAACUUUUUUCAUUCAAUUCGUUUGGGGUUGGGGUGACUAACUCUUUAUUUAGGGAAAAAUUUUCCUUAAUGGUGCUAAAGUGUAUUGGUUUAUCAAGCUCAAUGCAUUCAUAAUCUUUUAACACAUUAUAUUUCAAUAAUGAUGUUGUAGACCCUGUGUCAAUAAGACAUUUAAUUUUUGAAUUUUUUAUGAUCACUUUUAUUAUCGGUAACGAUUGUUUUGGGCUGGCAACCGAAAAUUUGCUUGUUCUUGAACGUGAUCUAUUUCCAUCGGUUCGGGGGGGUUUUGUCUCCUUUGGACUGAAUUAUAUCUUCUAGAUUGUUGAGAAUUAUUUUGCCUAUUUUGUCCAAAGCUAAAUUGUUGAUAAUUGUCAUUUUGGUUAGAAUUUUUACGAAAUUCUCUCUGCUGAUUUUGUCAAAUUGAAAAUUAUUGGAAUUUUGCAUAUACUGUUUAUUAUUGAAAUUGCCAAAAUUGUGAGCCAAAGAAUUUCUAUUUGAAAAAUUUCUAUAAUUAUUUCUUUGAUAAUUCUUUUGUCUUUUGUCAAAUUGUAAUAGCAAACCUGUCUCUUGAAGAACGCUAAAAGCCUCUCUAAUCGUGCUUAUAUUUCUACUAAUCACUACACUGCUUAAGUUGGGGUUGUAUCCCAUUUAAAAAUGUUUUUAGAAUUAAACUUUCGUUGUUAAUUGGAGAAAAUUCUAUAGGCUUUAUCGUAUCGAAUUCAUGUUUUAAAUUUAGUUUAUCCAAAAUAUCUUUUAAAUUUUGAAAAUAUUGACUUACGUUAUAGUUUCAUAGUACAAUCGCCUGAUUGUAAGGGGUGUGGCACGACUUCUUUACUCCAAAAUUCUUUAUGAGUUCUUCUCUCAUUUGCUGCCAUGUUGGUGUAGGUUCCAAAGGCCGGAUGACACUUGCUGCUUCUCCUUUAAUUUUUGUUUUGACGCUGCGUUGCAAAUUCCAACAUUGAUGGGUUGGGGUUGAAUAAAGGAAGGAUCAUGUCAACUUCCCUGAUGAACGAUGAUAAAUUUCUGCCGUCAAAAUCCAUGAUUCUUGAAGCUUCUUUCAAAAUUUGCGAUCCUAUCAUCUGAAGUGGUUGCUGCUCGCCUGGAUUCAUUGCUGAUGUAUCCUCUUUUAACCCUGCCUUCAUAACGUUAUUUUUAACCUUUUCAGUCAUAAUGAUACGUCUGGUAGAUGUAUCGUUUCUUUUGGGCUUUCAUUGGAUACCACGAAACUUUAUACUUUGAUAAUUUAUUUGUUAAAUUAAAAUAUGCAUGCGUUGUGUAAAAAAUUGUAGGAGGGAGAGCAAAAUGUAAAGAGGUCGUGCGCCUCUCAGAUGUACGUUAUGAAAGCAAGGUUAAUACAACUGAACUUGUUGUUGUCGCUUUGUAUGGUGCACUUCGCUCUCUCUGCGUCUUCUGUGUGUGGGGCAUUAAUCUUUAAUCCCACUUUUCCUGGUUAUGUUGAUGGGCUGAAUGAAGCUAUUCUUCGCCUUCAUAAAUUGAAGUCCUCGGAGUCGCUCUCCGACGUUCCAGAUAACUUGUGUAGAAGCUUAAGUUUCUUAAACUUAGCUAUCUGUGCCGACCGACUUAUAUAUUUAUAUAUAUAUAAGAGAUCUUUAAAAUGGGAGCUAAUCUCAGGAUUUGCUUCCCGUUGCUAAAGCUUACGAAACUUAAAAAACUUCAGUUUUUAGUAUCGCUCAACUUUGCAGUUUGUUUUUACCGACUGCGCCAGUUUUAGUUGUUCGAAUAAAAUAAAAAUGCCGACGAUGUUACUUCUGUGACAUUAUACUUUAUUCUCUUACUUUUUCAAAUUAUGUUCUGCUUAUAUAACUACUAAAGUGAUUACAAUUUUCUUAAUCUAUUUCUUUGUUUUUUUUAUUUUCUUAUGAAAUACAAUAUUUGUUAAAUGUAAUCUUAUUUUCUAUUGAAUGCAAACAAACAUGAUUGUGUGGUUUACCCGAUAAUGUCUGGGUUAUCAUUACAGCCAAACAUAAGGACCAAAACAUGUUUGUAUGCAUUUGCGUUAUGUUCUUUAUCUCUACUUGUUAUCUUACUUUUUUGUAAUGAUUACUUGUUUUUCUUUAAUCUUUUAUUUUGUCCAAUUUACAAUAUUUUGUUGUGUAGUGCGCGAUGAGGGUGGAAUAAAUUUUUUGAGAUGUUAAUAAAAAAUACGAGAAAUUAAUACCGAAUUCUAUGGUUAAAUCAAAUGUUGAAUAAAGUAUUAAAUAAAAUGUUAAAUUAAAAGGUUAAAUAAAAAAAUUAGUCUCAACUGCACCCUCUGAACUCCCGGUUUCCCAAUUGGACCAAUCAGAAUGCGCCACGUUAGUUUAUGCGUAAGCAAGUAGGACUUCAAAUAAUUGCUCCCGCUUUGCUUAUUAGACUAAUCACACCGCGCGAGGAUUACGUGAGUCAUGCUGCCAGAUCGUUCGUAACAGCCGUGAAAAUCUACGGUAUCCUACGGUAAAGCGGGCGGUAGAAGCGGUGUUGGCUGAUCUUUUACAUUGCGCUCCCAUAAGAUAGGUCGUAUCAGCUGAGCUUCGGCUAUUGGUUUUCCGUGAUAACGGUGAUUUCGCAUGAAACAGUGAGGGUAUAUACAGGGUGGCGCAAAAGUCAGAAGAUGAUCAGAUGAUGCUACAAAUUUUGCAAUUGCCCUCUAAUGUCAGUUCUGUUUUAACAUUUGUGUAGGAAAUACACGUAAAUAAAUAAUGGUACGCUGCACUACGUGCCACAACCGUUAUGCUGAAGGAUGCAUUUCCCGGGCGCCUUAUCUCCCGUUUUGGCGGUUUGCACUGGACAGCAGGAUCGCCUGAUUUGACCGCUCCAGACUUCUUUUUGUGGGGCCGAUUUAUGUCAACAAGCUCCGACCCUUGCAGCCUUUAAAGACAAUAUCCGUCAAGAAUGUAAGGCCCUAUUGCGGGAAGUUCUGGCCAAAGUGAUGGCAAAUGCUAUAAAAAGGGCUCAAAUGAUAAUCAACUGUGGAGGCGGCCAUUAACAUGAUAUCAUAUUCUCGACUCGAUGUAAAAAAAUGUAAAAGACCAAAUAAAAAUUAUCCACAUACUCGUAUAGGAGACUCCUUUUGAUAUUUUCAAAGAGAUCAAAGUUUUUAAUUUUUUAAAAAAGUCUUUCAUUUUCAAAAAAACAUUGGACGGUAAUUUUUGCGCCACCUAUUACAAGCAUGUAUUUACUUAUAAAGUUGUGUCUGGACAAAUUUACAAAUAUUAUGCGAAUAGUUCUUUCGUGAGUAUGUGCCACCGCUUGGUCUUUUAACAUGUUAUCAAAACUUUUCAUGUCCAGCAAAAAAAUAAGUAAACAACUUAUCAAACCUAAAUUAAUUAAAUAUUUAAGUAAAAUUUCAAACAUGAUUUCAUUACAUAUUUCAAAAGAUUUUAAGGAAUUCAUCAUGAAAUAGUUCAAAAUAUAGAUAACACAUCUACAUAUCAGUUAUAAGCCGAGUCGUUUGCGCAUUGUAAACUUACCAAUAUGUAGCUUACAUUACUAAACAUUGAAACUAGCAUAAUCAUUUGCAUUUAACACUGAAAAUGCUCAAUUCUGUUAUUUUCGUGCCGUUGCUGUUAACUGUGGCGAAAUAAGCUCGUUCAAAACAGUACUAUGAUAUAUGUACAUAUGUACGUUCUCUGAUUCUAGAGCUGCCAUAAUAAGAGCAAAUGAGACAAUACCAAGUUGUUGAUUCGGCUAAUGAGAAGAUGAGAUAAUGAGAAGCAGACUGGAACUUCUCCGUGACCAGUAUCAAGGUUGGUAUCCGGCUCUCAAGUAAUUGCUUAAGAAAAAAAUACAUUAUUUCUUCAAGUAGCUUUGGCAGCUGGUUACGCAUUGUGAAUGAUUCACAUUAGAAGAGCAAGAGAGAAUAAACAAAGAAAGUAAACUUUGUGUAUAAUAUGUAUGUAUGUAUGUGUGUAGUAACAUAUAUAAAUAUUUUCCUUGCGAUUUAAGGAAUAUUGUUGAUGAUUGGUAAGUUUUAUACAACAUUUCAAAAUGAAAUUUACUUCAUAAUGAUGAUUUUAACUAAUUUAGGACGAAUUUAACGAUUACUUUGAAUUUCCUUCAAGAAACAAUUGUUAAUUUGAUAUUUCUUGGCAAACCCAGGUUUGCCAUAUUCGCAUUUUAUUGAAAAAAAGUACUAAAAAUUAGUACCAGAUUACUUUAGAGCUGCAUACUAGCACAAGUAAAUUUAUCGCAGGAAAGUUUCUUGACCGUUUCCAAAGCGUUUUUUUAUAUGGAAUUUUUACAUUUCGUGAGAGCUUAAUACUAAGCUUUAUAUUGAAUUUGCGGUUUUAUAUUUUUAAACAGUAAAGCAGUUGUGAACAGAGUCAACUGAUUUUAAACUAAUGCUUAACGAUAUGCCUGGUACGUCUAGACAGAGCUGGUCUGCACUAAAUCGUAGAAAGUGCACAUCAACUGAAGUAUAUCCCCAAAAGCCAAACGCAUCAAAUGCUAUUCCAUAUCCCUGUUAUUGGAAAAGCGCUGGAGAACGAUAUUUUGAAAAUAAAAUCGGACUAAAAAGAAAAAAUGCUGAAAAAAAGACAAGUUCUACGCGAACAAGUGAUGUGCGAUAUUUCACCAGCGGUGCUUUUAUUACUAUAGGUUGGUACGCAGCUCACAAGUAAUUGCUCAAGAACAAAAAUACAUUAUUUCUCAAGUAAUUUUGACAGCUGGUUACGCAUUGUGAAUGAUCCACAUUAGAAGAGCAAGAGAGAAUAAACAAAGUAAACAAGCUUUGUGCGUAUGUAUGUAUGUAUGUAUGUGUAUGGUAACACAAAUAUUUUCAUUGAGAUUUAAGGAAUGUUGUUGAUGAUUGGUUGGUUUUAUACAACAUUUCAAAAUGGAACAUACUUUAUAAUAAUGAUUUCAACUAAUUUAGGAUGAAUUUGACGAUUACUUCGAAUUUCCUGCAAGAAACAAUUGUUGAUUUGAUGUUUCUUCGCAAAACCAGGUUUGCCAUAUUCACAUUUUAUUGAAAAAAAGUAUUAAAAAUUAGUACUAGCUUUCUUAAGAGCUGCGUACUAGCACAAGUAACUUUAUCGCAGGAACGUUUCUGGACCGUUUCUUAAGCGUUUUUUUAUAUGAAGUUUUUACGUUUCUUGAGAGCUGCGUACUAAGCUUAUAAUUGAAAAAUCGGUUAGAGUCACUGCUAUUGCUAGCCCACAAUAUCAAUGAUUGGUGAUUUUUCUACAUGUCACUAUUUACUGUGAAUGAAAUUUACAAUUGGCACCAGCUGAUGAACAAAAAUUGCGUGUGGUGAUUUUUUUGGUGUUAGAGGUAGAAAUUGUGAUUUUGAAUACUUCUUUAUUCACUGUGAAUAUUUCUGGCGAUUUUUUGGUUUUAGAGGCAGAAAUUGUGAUUUUGAAUAAUUUUUCACUGUGAAUAUAUGUACAGUGAGCGCAUUUCGUUUAGUUGAAUGGCUAGUUGUUCCUAUUAUUUAUCGUUAUUCCGAAAAUUGCUAUGGUACUUUAUGCCAGCUGCAAAUAUUUUACAUUUCGCUUUCGUAACCAUAUAUUUUUUAAUUGUAAUUAGUCUACCUAUAUCAUACUUGAAAAAUUGUUAGUGAAAAGAGGUAAUCAGUGUUAAUUUUAGUGCGCAUUUCGUUUAGCCGAAAAGGUGGUAAAAGUCAUUUUAUAAAGAUAUAAAGAGGUAAUUUGUAUUUUUUAGAAAAAAUAUUAAAACUGACACUGCAUGGAUUUAUUGGGUUCAUCUAAGUUAUUUUGUUUAAUUAUUUUUUAUACCCUUUAAAGCCAUGCCGAAGUGACCCUACUUGCCAAGUGAAGAAAAAGCUUUUAUAACGGCACAUAAAGAUAAGGGUAUGAGAAAUGUGCAGAUUGCUUUAAAAAUUCAGAGAUCUGAGAAAGUUAUAGGAAAUUAUUGGGCAAGAAUUAUGGUCAGAAGAAAAAACUAAAGGUAACAAAAAAAUUUCAGAUCGCCAAAAAGGUCAAAUUAAGGACCUGGCAACAAAAAAAGCUAACCGGUUAUAGCAGAACUUGAUCUUCCCAUUAAAAAACGUCGUGUCCAGAAAUUUUUAUACACAACACAAAACGUUGUUUAUAAAAAAAAAAAACCAGCAAAAGCACCGGCACUGACAAAAGCCCGCAAGGAUGCAAGGAUGCAGUUCGCACAUGAAAUGGAGGUCAAAAUGGAAAAAUGUAAUUUUUUUUGACGAGAAAAAAUUUAAUCUCGACGGUCCUGUUGGAUUUGGUUACUUUUGGCAUGAUUUAAAAGGAAAAGAGGAACCAAGGUUGAGUAGGAUCUUUGAUGGUGGAAGUGUUAUGAUUUGGGCAGCCUUCUCUUAUUAUGGAAGUUCCAGAAUAUGCUACGUUCCAACAAAAGUUAAUAGCAAAAUCUACACGGACAUGUUGGAAUCAGAAUUAAUAUCAUUUCUGGAGGACUGUCAUCAAGAAGAACCCAUUUUCCAACAGGAUGACGCAGCUAACCACGUCUCGCGACAUUCUAUUCACUGGUUUGAAGACAAAAAUAUUGAAUUGGUGAAAUGGCCUACACGCAGUCCAGACUUAAAUCCCAUCGAGAAAUUUUGGGGUAUUCUGGCUAGAGAAGUUUUUAUAAAAAUGGUUGUCAAUAUUCGGCUAGACGAAAUUCGCUCCUGUACCGUAAUAUAACUAUUAUAUUAAUAAAAGCAAUAUGAAAUUCGAAAAUCUUUGUUUUCUUUAAUAAUGAAAUAUAUAUUGAUCUAGAGGACCCGUCCACGCUUCACUGUGGCUGAUGCAUAGACACCACUACCUAUAUCUAUCUAUAUUAGGGCGGGUCGAUUUAAAAAUCGCUCAUUGCUCUAUGAAGAUCGUAUUCUAGGGAUCAAAAUAUGAAACUUUGCUGAAGGAACCAUACCUCUAAAACGAAUUUUGAUGUCCCCCAAUUUGGGUCGAACUUUUGGGUAGGGGCAAAUUUUGAAAAAUCCCACUUUGACCCAUUUAGAGUGCUCCAAUCGAGUCCAAAUGUAUGACCGACCCCCACUAACUUUGGACGGCCGAUCCACUCAUGCCAGUGGCACACCCCCUGGAACUCCCCUGGGGGGGUUCCCCAUACAAUCAUUUCAAAAAAUCACCAUUUUUGGCCAUUACAUGAAAAAAUCAGCUAAUUGGCUAUGUUUUUUCUUUAUUUUUAUUUAUUUAUUUAUAAUAAUAUCUAUUUUUUCUCUUAAGAAAUUUAUUUAGUCAGAACAUAUGUCAUUUCAAAAAAUCACCAUUUUUGGCCAUUACAUGAAAAAAUCAGCUAAUUGGCUAUGUUUUUUCUUUAUUUUUAUUUAUUUAUUUAUAAUAAUAUCUAUUUUUUCUCUUAAUAAAUUUAUUUAGUCAGAACAUAUGUAAAUGAAAAAAUUAUUAUAAAAAAGAAACUAAAAAAAAUUAUUGUUUGAAGUCUUUUUUACUUUCAAGUCUGGGCAAUUUCGCACGGCUCUCUAAUGUCGUCGCCAUAACAGCCUCUACAUUUUCCGGUAUAACCCGUUUAGAAACGCUAGCUAGCAAUUCAACAUGUCGUUCCGUCCCUUGUAUGUGUGAUGGAAUUUUUAGAUCAUUAAACGGUGGAUCAUCUUGAUUUAAAUAUUCUUUCAAUGUAUCGUACGGAAUGGUGGUUCAAAUACGAUAUUUAUAUCAUUCAAAUUGAUCAUUUCCGUAUAACUUGUGCAAUUAAAGUUUAUAUCUGGUUUUUUAUAAACUCUAAGUUCCAUUGGCUCGUCAACAUCGGUUCGAUAGCGUAGAAUUUUCUUGAUGGCACAGUCGCGCUUUUCUUUCCUAUCAUCAAACAACAUUGAUAACAAGAUAUUUUCCGAAUGCGCAUAAUAUAAAUUAUCUUUAAUUACUUGAUUGACAAUUUUGCUUAAACGAGGUUCUAGAAAUUCUGACCAACCAAUGAACUUGAAAAAUAAUGCACUGCCGUACACGACAGAGCUGUAAUACUUGAUACUGAAGUACAUUGGCACAUAACAUUUAAUUAUAAAUUCAACCAGAAUUCUUAAAUUUGCACGUGGAUUUUCCGUUGUCACAUAUAAUAGCAAUAAUCUGGCGGCCUUGGUGAGCCACCGAGAAUGUACAAUUUUCCCUGGUUUGAUGUUAGCCAGAUCCACCGGAACUACGCCACUAGAAAUUGCAUGGGCCAUGUCGUAUAAGUACUUCGAAUCGGUGGAAAAUUAUUUUUUUUCUGGAGCAGGGGACAUAUUUUGCAACUCAAUUUUCUGGAAGCCGUCCACCACCUAAAAAUAUAUAAUAAUAAAAUAAGUAAAAAUGGUUGACAAUUAUAAUAAAUGAGUGAUAGCAAUAACUUACCGGAAGAGUUUCACAAGUUUCGAUUUGACGGCUCAGUUUUCCGGUUGCCGAUCUUGGUCCAGUGCUGGUUGAUUUAUCCAAAGCUUCAAACAAAUGCCGAAACGAAAGUUCGUUGAAGUGUAGAAGGCAAACAAACCAAUGCAAUGGUAUUUUUAACAGCAAUUCGAAUCGUCAUAUAAUUCCACCGUGUGGGCCAGUGUUUGUAGGCUUACCGUCAGUGCAUAUUCCAAUUAAUGUAUCCAGUGAUAUAUUUUUAUCGUUGAAAAAACCAUUUAAUUUGGUUGUUUUGUAUUCAGCGGUUUCAUGCUCCAUUCUUACGUAACCAAUCAAUUCAGAAUUGGGUUCUCUCAAAAUAACAAGAUGAGGUUCUUUUACCAUCCUAGUAUGAUACUUCUCAUCAAUUUUAUCUAUCGUUAAAGUAUCAUCUUUUCUGGCAUCGAAUGAAAACGUUAACAAAUUGGUAUCAUCUAACCCAGGGAUGGGCACAUUAGCCCUCAGUGGCAUUUUGCCCGUGCGGGCACGAGUGCACAUUUUGAGCAUGGAUAAAUUGAUCCGAAACUCCUCUCUUCGCUUUCUGAGAGAGCCCAUGAUCUCACGGUUUGGUAUGGCAACACUGAAAGUUCAUGGGCUACGAAUCAGGUGACAAGCAAAACAAUGAACUGCCAGACAAAAUCCCAUUAAAAAUAACUGACAAAAUCAGUUCGUUUUUUUUUCAUUGUGGAAUACAUACAUAAAUAAUUGUGUUGUGAAAAUAUAGUGUUUUUUUUAUUAAAAAUACAGUGUAUAAGUGUUUUUACUAAAAAUAAAGUUGGAAAAUGCCGAGAACUAAAAAUAAGUGUGUGGCUGGUUGCGUAGGAGCGCGACGGUUUUUCAAUUUCCCCAACAAGGAGAAGGAUGGAUCCAGGUUCGUAAAUAAUUUUAAUUAGUAGAAAAAUAUAGUUAUUUAGUGAAAUUUAGAAAUAUUUUUUCAUAAAUUGUGCCUAUUUUGAUCUUGUUUUAGAUGCAAUUUAUUGCAUAAUAAAAAAUAUAUCAUACUUGCGAAAUAUAAUGUAAUUUAGUAAAUAGUAUUGUAAUAUUUAAUAGAUCCAAUUUAAUAUGUUGUUUGGAGUAGCGUAGUAGAUGUAAAUAUUACUAUAAUUAUAAAUUAUAAGUACAAAUAAAUGUAAUACUAGUAAAGGGUGAUUUUUUAAGAGCUUGAUAACUUUUAAAAAAAAAAAAAACGCAUAAAAUUUGCAAAAUCUCAUCGGUUCUUUAUUAGAAACGUUAGAUUGGUUCAUGACAUUUACUUUUUGAAGAUAAUUUCAUUUAAAUGUUGACCGCGGCUGCGUCUUAGGUGGUCCAUUCGGAAAGUCCAAUUUUGGGCAACUUUUUCGAGCAUUUCGGCCGGAAUAGCCCGAAUUUCUUCGGAAAUGUUGUCUUCCAAAGCUGGAAUAGUUGCUGGCUUAUUUCUGUAGACUUUAGAUUUGACGUAGCCCCACAAAAAAUAGUCUAAAGGCGUUAAAUCGCAUGAUCUUGGUGGCCAACUUACGGGUCCAUUUCUUGAGAUGAAUUGUUGUCCGAAGUUUUCCCUCAAAAUGGCCAUAGAAUCGCGAGCUGUGUGGCAUGUAGCGCCAUCUUGUUGAAACCACAUGUCAACCAAGUUCAGUUCUUCCAUUUUUGGCAACAAAAAGUUUGUUAGCAUCGAACGAUAGCGAUCGCCAUUCACCGUAACGUUGCGUCUUUGAAAAAAUACGGUCCAAUGAUUCCACCAGCGUACAAACCACACCAAACAGUGCAUUUUUCGGGAUGCAUGGGCAGUUCUUGAACGGCUUCUGGUUGCUCUUCACCCCAAAUGCGGCAAUUUUGCUUAUUUACGUAGCCAUUCAACCAGAAAUGAGCCUCAUCGCUGAACAAAACACGCGCGCGAAACACAUUUCGAACCGAACACUGAUUUUGGUAAUAAAAUUCAAUGAUUUGCAAGCGUUGCUCGUUAGUAAGUCUAUUCAUGAUGAAAUGUCAAAGCAUACUGAGCAUCUUUCUCUUUGACACCAUGUCUGAAAUCCCACGUGAUCUGUCAAAUACUAAUGCAUGAAAAUCCUAACCUCAAAAAAAUCACCCGUUAGAAAGAAUCGUAAAUACUAAUAAAUGUUGUGAUUUUAUUUUGUACCUAUAUGGGUGAUAUAGGCCUAUAGGGAAACCGUGCACCCAAAACUAACUUCGGUAACGCGCCUUUUGUAUACCUCAGCGGUGGUGUGGAAAUUACAAACUCCCAAAACAUUUACUAAAAAUUCCCUAACGCAUUUCUUCCAUAGUGGCAUCAUUGGCAAAUGUUAUAAAAAAUGUGGACUUUGACAGCGCUCUCUCGAAUCAAAGAGUUUCGUAUCAAUUUAUCCAUGAUUUUGAGGGCUAGGUGAGGGGAUCAUCGCGGGCAAACAUGAAGAGGGAAGUGAGAGCAACGUUUUACCACUCCAUAUUUACAAAUGAGAGCAACGUAUUUUCCCACAGCAUGUUUACAAAUGAGCGACUGAUCUAUCACAUGUACAGUGGUGUGAACAAAAUAGAAACAACCAUAAGGUGUUGUGAAGUUUUAAAAUAUGCUGUUUUCUUAUUAAAUAAAAUUGUUUUUAGAUACAUAACAUAACAUAUAUAUAUUUUUUCCUAACAGUGAUUAAAAUUUCCCACCAUGCAAAGGUAAAUAAAAACAAAUUUUAAUGCGAAACUCUAAACUCUGCAAAUUAUGUUUACCCCUUUUUGUUCACACAACUGUACAAUUCCGAUAUGAAGUAAAUUUCCACCCUUAAAUUUGUGUACAAUGUCAGUAUUGCCGCAACCACUCUGCGAUGAACAUCAAGUUACGGAGGAAUGUAAUUCAUUUUUUUCGCAAUUUUUCUCAACUUGUUAUGCCCUUCUCUCCGUAAACUGAUAUUCCCCUCAUCUAGCCCCCGUGCGCACUUUGCUAACUUUGCGGGCUAAAAAUGUGCCCAUCCCUGAUCUAACCAAAUCUUGCAAAAGAGCGGUUCCCAAUGCUGAUGCUACUCUGUCAGGCACACCAAAUCUGUCACAUACCAAGGCAAAGUUAAAACAAUCGUAUCUCUCUGUGUAUUGUGAACUUGUUCUUCUAUCCAUAUCUUCUUGAACCGGUGGCGGUGCGUAUGUUGAAUCAUCGGGAUCUUGGUAUGUUGGCAUUGAUGACAUAGACGUUGCUCCUUGCUCUUCAGUUUCCAUCAUAAAUGCAUUCAUUGUUAGUCUUCUCUGAUUAUGUUUAUCGUGCAUGAACUCUUUGAGGCGUUCGGGAACCCAGCCGCAUGCACAUGGAGCUGCCUUCAAAUCGCAUUUACAUGUUCCAAUGUAAAAAACUGUUUCCAGAGAUUUUACAUACUCUGUAAAUUGUUGGGUGUUGUUUCUUCUCUUGAUUUGCCCUUGAUACUUGUCAAGCAAUUUAUUCAAUUUGUUACAUACACUUUUUUUCAGCAUUAUUUCCAUACCAAGUUUUUCCCAAAUUCCAAUCAACUUAUCUUGUACUUGAAUAGUGAAUGCUUUAUGGGAAGACUUUUUUUGUUCUGUUUUAGCACGUUCGCUUAAGUAAAAAUAAUAUCUCAAGAUAUCCAAAUGGGUUGGUAAAUUAAGAUCAGUAAAAUCAGUAGACACACCAAAAACAGUAACAUCAUGCUUGGGUAUAUGACUCAUUGGGUUUUCGAUAGUUGUUGAUGUAGUUGCUUCAUCUUGCGGUGUAGAGGAUGAUGGAUUCAUAGUAAACUUUUUGAUUUGGAAUGGUCACUUCACUUAUUAAUUUUUUUUUUUGAAAUACCAUAGUGGUUAUUGCUUUAGUUCUCCUUACUUUCAGAGGUAAUAAGAAUGAAAUGGUAAUUUCAAUUCUAUUUCAAAAUUUGCCCCUACCCUAAAGUUCGACUCAAAUUGGGGGACAUCAGAAUUCGUUUCAGAGGCAUGGUUCCUUCGGCAAAGUUUCUUAUUUUGAUCCCUAGAAUAUGAUUUUCAUACAGCAAUGGGCGAUUUUUUUGCCUCUCCCCAAAUCGAUCCGGCCUAAUCUAUAUAGUUUCUAUUAGUUGGAUUAUAAUUAUUACUAAUGAGAUAUAGCAUUUCUUUUAAGCAACUUGUGUUAGUUUACAAAAAAAUUGGAUCAUAGAGCAUUUCGUUCGUUAAUAAAUAAUUACUGCUUUUUGGAGGAAAAUACUGUUGAAUUUGGGCUCAGGGAAAUCCACCGAUGAAAAGAUAUUUGCUAAGCUUAAAGACGUGAAAGCUCUGUGCAAAGUGGGUGCCCCGCAAGUCCAAAAUCCAACAAAAGCAACGAAUAACUGGUUUUGUGAAGUGUUUGAGUGCUCUCUAAUCGGAAUAAAGCCCAAUUUUGGCGUCGGUGAUAGAAACAUAGCUCCAUCAUUUCCCACUGGAGUCCAAUCGACAGUCUUUCUGGUGGACUGCGCAUGACGAACCGGUUCUCAGGCGUGGAAAGACAUCAAUAUUUUGGGAUGCACGUGGUAUAAUACAUACUGAACGACUGAUUACUGAGCCAGUUAUAAUCUAUUUCACUGCGUAUUUGGUUGCAGUUCUUUUCUUCUAAUCCAAAUACUUAGCAAUUGUAUUAUAUUUGAAGAAGAAUCUGUCUAAAAUUGUACUCAUAUAUUCAAAUUCUGCUAUUUACACAAUUGUUGUUUUAGUAGACCAAUUCUUCAAUUUUUUGUUGGUGACAUAUACACAUGUGUACGCAUAUGUAUGUAGCAUACAAACGCUUGUGCAUUAUUUGUUCGGAAGUGUAUACAAAUAUAUGUACAUAUAAGUAUACAUGAAUGUAUUGUACGAACAUGCAGAUCAAUGCGCGCACAUGUAAUACAUUGAUAAGUGAUAACAUCAUUAUUUGAAUUUCUGAACGCGCACAUGCGUAUACAUACAUUGAGCAUGUGCAGAUACAUAAUACCAGUGUUUUUCAAUCUUUUUGAUUUCGCGACCCCUUUACAGGUUGCAAUAUAAUUUAAGAAAUAAUUUAAUUUUAAUGAAAAGACUACAUACGUUGGGUAAUAAGUUUUUCCUAUUUUAGCAAAUUUAUCUAUUGGGUUGUCAAAAAAGUCUUGCGGUAUUUUCGCGAGUUGGCGCUGAACGCGCGUAGUUCUAGUUUUAUUCGUCGCAACGGAUCAUGCUAUACCUAUUUGGAAAGCUCAUUUCACGCGCUAACAGGUGUUUGAUUGAUUGUCGUUUCUUUUAAGUCCUUCGUGAGUUAUAGCGUCGCAAACAUGGGGAAAAAUAAAGAGAAAAUACGGCAUAUUUUACAGUACUACUACGAUAAAGGCAAAAAUGAAUCUCAAGCCGCCAAUAAAAUAUGUGCAGUUUAUGGACCCGAUACAGUUUCCAUUUCCACCGCACAACAAUGGUUUCAACGUUUUCGUUCUGGUGUAGAGGUGGUCGAAGAUGCGCCACGCUCCGGAAGGCCUGUCGUCGAAAAUGGCGAUAAAAUCGCUGAAUUGGUCGAAAGAGACCGGCAUAGUAGUCAUCAAACCGUUAUAAACCAUUUGAAGAAGCUUGGAGUCACUAAGAAGCGCGAUGUAUGGGUGCCACACGAAUUGAUUCAAUAAAAAUACCGCAAGACUUUUUGACAACCCAAUAUUAUUCGCGCGGGUCAUACGACGUUGGCGACGGUGACGUGAGAGUAUGAAACCGUCAAAGCUUAUGCGGCAUCUCACAACCAAGCAUCAAAAAGAAGCUGAUAAGCCGUUGGAUUUCUUUGAACGAAAGUUGAAAGCUCUUAGUCAGCAGCAAAAUACUAUAAUUCAGGCAUCCAGUGUAAACGAGUCAACAUUAUUAGCUGGCUACAAAGUCGCAUAUCGAGUUGCUAAAGCAGGGAAACCACAUACAAUUACCGAAAAUCUUAUUUUGCCAGCGGCACUCGGUAUGGUUGAAAUUAUGGUCAGUAAGCAGGAGGCAACCAAAUUAAUAAAAAUACCACUUUCUGACAAUAGUAUUUUACGCAGAAUAAACGAUAUGGGCAAGGAUAUUCAAGAACAAAAAUUAAAGAAUAGCCAACAUUUUGCUUUGCAGUUCGAUGAAUCUUCUGAUGUUUCCGACUGUGCACAGUUUAUAGUAUUUGUGCGCUUUGAAGCAGAUGACAGUAUUACGGAAGAAAUCUUAUUUUGCAAAGCACUUCCUGCAAACACUACUGGCCAGUGUUUGUACGAUAUGUUUUUAGAAAGCACUUGCGACUACGAUAUUGAUUGGAAAAAAUGUAUCGCUAUUUGUAGCGAUGGCGCUAAAGCUAUGACUGCCAAAAAUAGCGAACUCAUUGCAAAAUUAAAAUCGAUAAUACCAAACAUAUCCUGGACACACUGUUUUCUUCAUCGACAGGCUCUAGCUGCUAAGGUAGUACCUUCUUAUUUAAAUGCCGUGCUCAAGGAGGUAAUACUUAAAAAUUGUGAAUUCUAUCAAAGGUAAAGCUUUGUAAACCCGGCUAUUUAGAAUCGUUUGUGAAGAUAUGGGAUCAAUUCAUUAAAAUCGUCUUUAUCACACAGAGGUCAGAUGGCAAUCCAAAGGAAAGGUAUUGACAAGAGUUCUGGAACUGAGAGCUGAAUUGUUAAUGUUCUUACAAGAUGCAAAAUCAGAAUAUGCUUACCGUUUUUCUGACCCUAUUUGGCUCUUGAAAUUAGCAUUUUUGGCAGAUCAUUUUAGCCACCUUAACAAUGUGAACAAGAACCUUCAAGGAAGAGAAGAAAAUAUUUUAUCAGCUAAAAAUAAAGUAAAAGCAUUUCAGGAAAACUUCGUUUGUGGUCGACCUCUCGGGAAAACAAAAUGUUUGAGUCUUUUCUCUGUGUUCAGAAGAUUGUUGAAGAUAAUGCAUCAGACCAAAGUCUUGCAGUUUCGGCUCAUAUUCCUUGCAUGAUACAAAGCUUGCGUAAUUUACAAGAGAAGCUUUUGACAUACUUUCCAGACUUGCACUCUGAAGCUGACAAUGGGCGUAGAUGGACUUUAAACUCUUUUUCGGACAAAUAAAUAGAUCUGGCUGAUGUCAACACAAAAAUGAAAGAAUGUCUUCUAGAAUUAGCUACUGAUGGCAUGCUUAAAAUGGAAUUUUAUUCGCGAAGUGUCGACGUAUUUUGGAUGAAAAGAAAACACGAAUAUCCAGAGCUGGCAAGGGAAGCUCUUAAAAUGUUAGUGCCAUUCGCCACUUCAUACUUGUGUGAAUUGACAUUUUCUUCAAUGGUAGACAUUAAAACUAAAAAGAGAAAUAGACUGCAAUUAGAAAAUGAUUUAAUUAUUAAUGUUUCAAAAAUAACACCACUAAUGAAAAAUAAACAAGCACAUCUUUCUCAUUAUAAUUAUGUUUUUGUUGUGUAAGAACCUCGACUUUUUCUUUCAGCUGGCGACCCCCCGAGUAAGGCUUCGCGACCCACAGAUUGAAAAACCUUAGGGGUCGCGACCCACAGAUUGAAAAACACUGCAUAAGACUAAUAUUGGGUUGUCAAAAAAGUCUUGCGGUAUUUUCGCUAGUUGGUGCUGAAAGCGCGUAGUUCUAGUUUUAUUCGUCGCAUCGGGUCAUGCUAUACCUUUUUGAAAAGCUCAUUUCACGCGCUAACACGUGCUUGAUUGAUUGCCGUUUCUUUUAAGUCGUUCGUGAGUUAUAGCAUCGCAAACAUGGAGCAAAAUAAAGAGAAAAUACGGCAUAUUUUACAGUACUACUACGAUAAAGGCAAAAAUGCAUCUCAAGCCGCCAAUAAAAUUUGUGCAGUUUAUGGACCCGAUACAGUUUCCAUUUCCACCGCACAACGAUGGUUUCAACGUUUUCGUUCUGGUGUAGAGGUGGUCGAAGAUGCGCCACGCUCCGGAAGGCCUGUCGUCGAAAAUGGCGAUAAAAUCGCUGAAUUGGUCGAAAGAGACCGGCAUAGUAGCAGCCGUAGCAUCGGUCAAGAGCUGGGCAUGAGUCAUCAAAGAUUCAUUUCAAUUUCAAUCAAAAAAAAAAUUCAAUAAAAAUACCGCAAGACUUUUUUGACAACCCAAUAUGAUAGAAGAUGUAUGUAUAUGUAUAUUGUUGUGAUAAAUUUAAUUUCUAUUGCUUGGGCAUACAUACAUAUAUGCCAGGUCAUUAUAUGCCGAAAAUACAUAUCGUCACAUGAAAUGCAAAUUAACGUAACAACAUUUUCAGAAAUUUACAGUGGCAUGAAUGAAACACGGAAUAAAAUGGAACAUGAGUGAAACGAAAUAUUAAUAUUGGUUAAAACUGGUUUAUAUAUGACCGCAGAACCAGAAAAUGUUGAACAUAUUUAAUAUUUAUUAUGUAUAUAAUUUGAAGUAGUGAAGCGUAAUCAAUAAGACACUCAAUUUCCAAUUUUUUGAUGAUACGUUAUUUUGCAUUUCAGGUGACGAUAUGUACAUAUAUUUAUCUUCAUAUUCUCUGUUUGAGUAUGUGAGAGAACUGUUAAAAAUGUUAACAUUUCACAUCGUGAAUUCUGUGGUUGUGAGGUGAAUUCCGUACUAUAAUGUAUAAAAUGUUCGACAUCGAACAUGCACCUUCUCUAUGUUUUAAGUUCUCCGACUUAACUACCUAAUAAUAAAAAUGUAACUAAGUACAUACUAUCUACCUUCUCCUCUAAAUUUCGUUCAGCCGUUUUGGCAUGUUAGAGCAAAACUCCCAGCAAAAACCAUAACAAAAUCACUAACUCAAUUCAGUUUUUUGCAUACUUCCUACCCCCUAAGAACGAUGGCGUGAUUAUUUAUAGCCUAUGACCAUUUCUAGGUUAUCAUCUACUCGUAUCACCCUACCAAAUUUCAUCAAAAUCCGUUCAGCCGUUUAGGAGUGAAAGAGUAACAGACAGACAGGGUUACUUUCGCUUUUAUAACAUUAAUUUGGAUUAUAUGAGUAAUUUUUGAGAUCAAGGCCGACCGGUCCAUAUAGACCUUGGGCGGCAUUUUGGAAAAAUUUCUUCACAUAUUUUAAUAUUAUUUUUAUAUAUUUUUUUAAUAUUUUUAUUUCAUUUACUCAAUAUAAUAUAAUAUAUAAUACCUCAAAGUCAUAGUUUCAUAUUAAAUACUAGCAGCCCUAGUCUCGUCUCUUUAUGUUUAAUUUCUUUGAUGGUUUAAGUGGCGGGCACUUAAAUAAGUAAUAUUUACAUAGAAUAUUAUAUACAUUUUUACUAUGUUUUUUUAAGUAAUUACAAUAAAAG
This is a long non-coding RNA of Bactrocera dorsalis (oriental fruit fly), 18524 nucleotides long. RefSeq lists it as uncharacterized. NCBI's taxonomy places the organism in Eukaryota, Metazoa, Arthropoda, Insecta, Diptera, Tephritidae. The transcript is spliced from 3 exons. The record is from RefSeq and is a predicted model, not a curated record.